RNAcentral lists this ribosomal RNA (463 nucleotides) under uncultured bacterium. RNAcentral describes it as "partial 16S ribosomal RNA". It matches the Rfam family "Bacterial small subunit ribosomal RNA", at positions 28 to 523 of the family's 1533-position model. The record is from RNAcentral.
GAUGAACGCUGGCGGCGUGCCUAAUACAUGCAAGUCGAGCGGCAACACGGUCUUCGGACUGGUGGCGAGCGGCGGACGGCUGAGUAACGCGUAGGAACGUGCCCCAAAGUGAGGGAUAAGCAUCAGAAAUGGUGUCUAAUACCGCAUGUGGUCUCCGGAUCAAAGCCUUCGGGCGCUAUGGGAACGGCCUGCGUCUGAUUAGCUAGUUGGUGAGGUAACGGCUCACCAAGGCGACGAUCAGUAGCUGGUCUGAGAGGAUGACCAGCCAGACUGGGACUGAGACACGGCCCAGACUCCUACGGGAGGCAGCAGUAGGGAAUCUUCCACAAUGGGCGAAAGCCUGAUGGAGCAACGCCGCGUGCAGGAUGAAUGCCUUCGGGUUGUAAACUGCUUUUGUUAGUGACGAUUAUGACGGUAACUAGCGAAUAAGGAUCGGCUAACUCCGUGCCAGCAGCCGCCGUAA